Non-coding RNA from Schistosoma haematobium, 46 nucleotides. Lineage: Eukaryota; Metazoa; Platyhelminthes; Trematoda; Strigeidida; Schistosomatidae. The record is from Rfam.
GCACUGCUGAGGAGUCCCACAAUAGGACGAAAUGGUUAUCCAGUGC